CCCUAGCGGCGGACGGGUGAGUAACGCGUGGGAACGUGCCCUUUGGUUCGGAAUAGCCCCGGGAAACUGGGAGUAAUACCGGAUACGGUCGAGAGACGAAAGAUUUAUCGCCGAAGGAUCGGCCCGCGUUGGAUUAGGUAGUUGGUGGGGUAAUGGCCUACCAAGCCGACGAUCCAUAGCUGGUUUGAGAAGAUGAUCAGCCACACUGGGACUGAGACACGGCCCAGACUCCUACGGGAGGCAGCAGUGGGGAAUCUUAGACAAUGGGGGAAACCCUGAUCUAGCCAUGCCGCGUGAGCGAUGAAGGCCUUAGGGUUGUAAAGCUCUUUCAGGUGGGAAGAUAAUGACUGUACCACCAGAAGAAGCCCCGGCUAACUCCGUGCCAGCAGCCGCGGUAAUACG
RNAcentral lists this ribosomal RNA (402 nucleotides) under uncultured bacterium. RNAcentral's name for it is "bacterial SSU rRNA". It matches the Rfam family "Bacterial small subunit ribosomal RNA", at positions 90 to 527 of the family's 1533-position model. The record is from RNAcentral.